GACGAACGCUGGCGGCGUGCUUAACACAUGCAAGUCGAACGGAAAGGCCUUUUCGGAGGUACUCGAGUGGCGCACGGGUGAGUAACACGUGGGUGAUCUGCCCUGCACUCUGGGAUAAGCCUGGGAAACUGGGUCUAAUACCGGAUAGGACCGCACUUUAGUGUGUGUGGUGGAAAGUUUUUUCGGUGUAGGAUGAGCCCGCGGCCUAUCAGCUUGUUGGUGGGGUAAUGGCCUACCAAGGCGGCGACGGGUAGCCGGACUGAGAGGUUGGUCGGCCACAUUGGGACUGAGAUACGGCCCAGACUCCUACGGGAGGCAGCAGUGGGGAAUAUUGCACAAUGGGCGCAAGCCUGAUGCAGCGACGCCGCGUGGGGGAUGACGGCCUUCGGGUUGUAAACUCCUUUCGCCAGGGACGAAGCGUUUUGUAACGGUACCUGGAGAAGAAGCACCGGCUAACUACGUG
RNAcentral lists this ribosomal RNA (463 nucleotides) under uncultured bacterium. RNAcentral's name for it is "partial 16S ribosomal RNA". It matches the Rfam family "Bacterial small subunit ribosomal RNA", at positions 28 to 507 of the family's 1533-position model. The record is from RNAcentral.